Molecule: RNA transcript, 3934 nt
Organism: Spinacia oleracea (spinach)
Lineage: Eukaryota; Viridiplantae; Streptophyta; Magnoliopsida; Caryophyllales; Amaranthaceae
Exons: 7
Source: RefSeq, a predicted model, not a curated record
CAAAAAAUUUCCUACUCAUAAACUGAUUCUAAGUCAGAAAGCCUUCCCUCGAAAAAGAAGUCCUUACCAAAAAUUAAAAACUCUCCCUCAACCUAAACCCUCGAUCUCCGCAAAAAACCUCCAUCACCGAAAACCCACGAAAUACUCCAGCAAUUGAAACCCUACCUCCAUUAGAGAAAACCUCCACCUACAAAAUACUUCAGAAAUUGAAAUCCGACCUCUAUCAACAAAUUGAGGAUGAAAUUUCAACGAAAUUGCAGACACAAUCGGCACCGCACGAAGCCGUCGGCGAACCCUUCCAAAACCGUCUUCGUAGCGAUUGAAUACCGGGAACAAUCUCUGAGUUUUAUCGAAUUUUCUUCACUCGAGCAGUCGAUCUUGCCUUGUGCUUCUAAAUUGCUCAGGUCUAUAUUUGCUUACUGGAGUGUGGGUUCAAUGGGGGAACGAACAUGCCCUUGUUUUUCUAAGUUGCUCAUAGGGUUCUUCUUGAAGGUGAAGCCAAUCAAGCCAUCUCAUUUACACUAUAGUAGUAGACUUAAUUUACUUUAGCUCUUGCUGUGGUAGUAGUAGCCAUCUCAUAGGGGUCUGCUUGUUGUGGAAUGGAAAUUUACUUUAGCUCUUCCUGAUGCUGUCUAAUCUUAAUUUAAAAUUACUGAUCUUGUAAGAUGGACUUCAAAUUAUCGAGAAAGGUUAUGUACGUUUUACAGGUCAUAAUCUGAAGCUUUAGAGGUCCAUUUUUUUGUUUGGAGUACUGUGAAGUACUGAAGUCAUAUACUCAUUAGAUUUAAGAUGGUUAAGCAGCUCUGUAUCCAUGGAGUUUGGCAUCUUCUGGUUGUAGGAAAAUCGUUAAAUGACUCAAAUCCUAUUUCUUUUACACACCUACAGAUUCUGCAACAUAGUUUGGACCUUCCUUCUUACAAGAUGUAAUGCUCAAAUGUGUAUUAACUUUGACCAGAUACCACUGAUGAGCCAAUUUCUUUAAUAACAGGGAACGAUUCACCUGUCAAUGCCUUCUCAUCCACUUCACAUUUACCUUCCACAACAACUCCAUCAAUAGGAAUAACUUCACCUGCUUUGACUGCAAUAAUGGUUCCUAGAUUUGCAGUUGUGACAUCAACUUGUUUACCAGUUUCAGCCAUUGUUGCUUUCAGAGGUGUCAUGCUUGUCAGAGAUGACAUUACAGACAUAGUCUGUAUAUUCACAACAUGAACAAAUAUAAGGAGAAUCAACAAUCAAUAUGAAUAUGAUCUGAAAUUAAGGUGCAGAUUGGGGUUUGUAUAUAGGAAAGAAAUUGAUCAUACAUACCUUGUAACUAGCUCUUGAUUCGAGCCACUGAGCUAUGUUGUACAGGAAGACGAUAAUAGCUGCAUCUGUGUAGUCUUGUAGAGCUAUUUUUAGUGAUAUACUUCCUAAGAUGGUGAUAUACUUCCUAGCUUAUUCCCCAAUCUACCCAUAACUAAGAUACUAUCUAAAGUGCUCCUCUCCCUAAAUCAGUUCAUUGCACAUCAUUUCGUAUUAUUCAUCUACUUGUAAACUCCCAACACAUACCUAAAGGUUUUGAAACUUAGGCUUCUAGCUGAAGGUAAAUAGAGAAAAGGUGAUUAUUGUUUCAAUCAGGGCCAGCCCUUGGGCAAGGCAUAAGGGACAAUCGCCCUGGGCCCAAGGGAAAAAGCCCAAAAUUCACGCAAGCUAGUCUACCAGUUUAUUAAAAUAUCUAAUUUUCUUAUGUAAAUGAUAACAGAAUCCUAGGUGCGGCUCACUGGUCUAUGCCAAAAUUUCACACAGUAUAAGGGCUGGGAAUUCCCAUGUUCGACUCCAACACACACUGUUGUUUUUCAUUAAUUUAUUCACUUCAUUCACGUUUAUACCUGCUUGGAGUACCUUUUUUUUUCCAAACCUGCUGUAGAGUACUUAAUUUAAUUUUAUUUCAUUUUUAGUUUUUGUCAUUUCUAAUUUGGUUAUGUUGCAAAUACCUACCAUUUUUAUUACUCAUUUUUGUAUUAAACAUAACACCAAAAGAUAGUGAAUAAUUUUUCAUGCACAACUCUUACACUCCUAAUAUAUACUUCUUUUGGUAAUUUAAUUUUUCAAGUAUAUUUUUUUGUUUUGGUAAUUUAAUCACACUUCCUUUUAUAAUUUUGGAAUUUAGAAAAAAUAAUUGAAUUUCUAGAUAUAACAUAUGUAAUCAAAUUAAUUUAAUGUAUAGUUUGAAAAUUUGUCUACAGUACUUGUUAAAACUUUUGUACAAUCUGCUACUACGAACAUUAUUAUUUUUUCAGUACAUUUCUUUCAUUCAACUUUGCGAUCUGUAGAUGUCUUGUUGUUAACUUGUUAAUUUUCUGAUUUUAGUUUGAUAAUUAAUGUUUGAGAUAUAUUGUAAUUCAUGUUCGAUAGUACAAGAUCGAAGUUUUCAAGCCUUAUACUAGGUUGGUUUUUAAUAGAGUUAAAAAAUGAAAAAAAUUCUUCGGAGUGGUAUCAGAUCGCCUUUUUAAUAAAAAGCACACCCUAACUACAAGCAAAUUUUUAUUAUAAACCUUUAAAUAUAUAGGGCCCCAAAUUUUUUUCGCCCAUAGGCCACCAAAAAGUUGAGACCGGCCCUGGUUUCAAUCAGCAUUUUGUUGUCUCUCAUGACUUUGCGUAACUGGGAAUCUAGGAUGACUAGAUGUCACUCUUACUAAUUCUAUCAUAUCUUUCGUUAAUCAACGACAAACACCUUUCUUCACGAGGUGUCUCCAUCAACACAGCAGUGCACAAGUUAUGGAAGGAUUAAAUAGUUCUAAAUAUCAACCAAAAUCCAAGGGUAGUUUAGAGACUCUUCCUUUCCCUAAACCAAGGCUUCCUGCAUUCUUAGCAAACUCAGCAAAUACUACAAAUUCAAUAACUCGAACUUAGGUAGAGGGAUCAAAGAACAUGGUACUUUGGCAUGUUUAUGAGCUAAGUAGUGAAUUUCUGUGAUUUAAGCAGAAAAUGUAGAUCGUCAAGCAUGCAGCCAAACAAAUCAACAACAAUUUUCUAUACAGUAAUUUUAACUUUCUUUUUCAAUAUAGAACAAUUAGUCCCAGUCACACUUGGUUUGUUCUCCUAACAAGCAGAGUCUAUGUCCGUAUGACAGAAAACAAAACACCAACUAGCUUCCCUGAUGUAUCCUUAAAGCAACAACUAGUGUCUAGUAAUUAUUUAUUUGUUUACCAAUUAUUUGAAGCCUGGAAUGGUUUAUGGUUUACCAUAAUCUCUUUCUUGAUUGCUAGACCUAGGUUCAUGUUCAGUGAUCGAUACAUCAUUCACAGACCAAUGUGCUGACUUGCCAAGCCUGAUAGUUGGUCAGAAUGCGAUGAAACGUGUGUCAUCGUCUUACUUCUUUAGAGUACGAAGAAGUAUAUACUUGCCCCGAUCCGUCAAGAUAAAUAUUAUUGGAUGUUGGUUGUGAUUUGCCUUGAAAGAGGGGAAGCCUUUUUCUUUGAUUCCAUGGCUGAUGGGUCGUUAGACACUUUGCAAACCAAAGGCUCCUUGUCUGUGGCAUAUAGGACUCUAAUGAACAUGGACAAAGGAUCUCGGAAAACCAAGCUAACGUGGAAGGUGGUUGAGUGUCUUCGUUCUCAACAAGUUGGGGUAGUUGAGUCCGGCUAUUAUGUCAUGAAGUAUAUGGAUCAAAUAGUAUCACUUGUAUAAAAAAAGGAGCGUGAUUUUCAAAAGCAUUUUUCUCUGGAGGCAUAUACUCAAGAAGUUAUCGAUGAUGUUCGUGAAAGAUGGUGUAGAUUUUUCAUUGAUAAUUGUUUAUAUAGUUAAUUAAUCUCAGUUUGACACUUAGUUGACAUAAACUUCUUAAAUUCGUGUCCAGUAUUUUCCUAAUAUGUAAAUAUACAAAAGUAUUAUAUAUGACUUUAGCUUUUAUCAAUUUUGGAGAUUAUAUUGCAGUGGUUUGAAUUUUUAUGUA